This 329-nucleotide ribosomal RNA is filed under the name Escherichia fergusonii. RNAcentral's name for it is "bacterial SSU rRNA". It matches the Rfam family "Bacterial small subunit ribosomal RNA", at positions 19 to 344 of the family's 1533-position model. Lineage: Bacteria; Pseudomonadati; Pseudomonadota; Gammaproteobacteria; Enterobacterales; Enterobacteriaceae. The record is from RNAcentral.
AUGGCUCAGAUUGAACGCUGGCGGCAGGCCUAACACAUGCAAGUCGAACGGUAACAGGAAUCAGCUUGCUGAUUCGCUGACGAGUGGCGGACGGGUGAGUAAUGUCUGGGAAACUGCCUGAUGGAGGGGGAUAACUACUGGAAACGGUAGCUAAUACCGCAUAACGUCGCAAGACCAAAGAGGGGGACCUUCGGGCCUCUUGCCAUCGGAUGUGCCCAGAUGGGAUUAGCUUGUAGGUGGGGUAACGGCUCACCUAGGCGACGAUCCCUAGCUGGUCUGAGAGGAUGACCAGCCACACUGGAACUGAGACACGGUCCAGACUCCUACGG